AGCAUAAUAAUUUGCCUUAUAAUUUGAGGCUAGAAUGAAUGGUUUGACGAAGGUUAAGCUGUCUCUAUCUUAUUUUUUAGAAUUUAAUCUUCAAAGUGAUAAAGCUUAAAUUUUUUAAAGGGACGAGAAGACCCUAUUGAGCUUAUAAUUUUAGGGUUGCCUAACAUUAGUUAUUUGGGGAGCAAUUUAUAAAUUUUAAUUGGGGUGAUUAAGGAAUAAAUAAGAAAAUAAUAUAGUAACUUCCUUAGAUUGAAAUAUUGUUAAAUAAAGUAACCAAUGUUAUUAUUGCUUUUAUAAUAGUUACCAUAGGGAUAACAGCGUAAUCUGUUUAGAGAGUUCUUAUUGAAAAAUGGGAUUGCGACCUCGAUGUUGGAUUAAAGUAACCUCAGGGUGCAGAAGCUU
RNAcentral lists this ribosomal RNA (402 nucleotides) under Cranchiidae environmental sample cf. Leachia sp. Its description in RNAcentral is "partial 16S ribosomal RNA". It matches the Rfam family "Bacterial large subunit ribosomal RNA", at positions 1958 to 2564 of the family's 2925-position model. The record is from RNAcentral. Lineage: Eukaryota; Metazoa; Mollusca; Cephalopoda; Oegopsida; Cranchiidae.